This 2493-nucleotide ribosomal RNA is filed under the name Escherichia coli. RNAcentral's name for it is "partial 23S ribosomal RNA". It matches the Rfam family "Bacterial large subunit ribosomal RNA", at positions 165 to 2682 of the family's 2925-position model. Lineage: Bacteria; Pseudomonadati; Pseudomonadota; Gammaproteobacteria; Enterobacterales; Enterobacteriaceae. The record is from RNAcentral. RNAcentral also lists the same sequence under 2 other names.
CAUAGGUUAAUGAGGCGAACCGGGGGAACUGAAACAUCUAAGUACCCCGAGGAAAAGAAAUCAACCGAGAUUCCCCCAGUAGCGGCGAGCGAACGGGGAGGAGCCCAGAGCCUGAAUCAGUGUGUGUGUUAGUGGAAGCGUCUGGAAAGGCGCGCGAUACAGGGUGACAGCCCCGUACACAAAAAUGCACAUGCUGUGAGCUCGAUGAGUAGGGCGGGACACGUGGUAUCCUGUCUGAAUAUGGGGGGACCAUCCUCCAAGGCUAAAUACUCCUGACUGACCGAUAGUGAACCAGUACCGUGAGGGAAAGGCGAAAAGAACCCCGGCGAGGGGAGUGAAAAAGAACCUGAAACCGUGUACGUACAAGCAGUGGGAGCCUCUUAAUGGGGUGACUGCGUACCUUUUGUAUAAUGGGUCAGCGACUUAUAUUCUGUAGCAAGGUUAACCGAAUAGGGGAGCCGAAGGGAAACCGAGUCUUAACUGGGCGUUAAGUUGCAGGGUAUAGACCCGAAACCCGGUGAUCUAGCCAUGGGCAGGUUGAAGGUUGGGUAACACUAACUGGAGGACCGAACCGACUAAUGUUGAAAAAUUAGCGGAUGACUUGUGGCUGGGGGUGAAAGGCCAAUCAAACCGGGAGAUAGCUGGUUCUCCCCGAAAGCUAUUUAGGUAGCGCCUCGUGAAUUCAUCUCCGGGGGUAGAGCACUGUUUCGGCAAGGGGGUCAUCCCGACUUACCAACCCGAUGCAAACUGCGAAUACCGGAGAAUGUUAUCACGGGAGACACACGGCGGGUGCUAACGUCCGUCGUGAAGAGGGAAACAACCCAGACCGCCAGCUAAGGUCCCAAAGUCAUGGUUAAGUGGGAAACGAUGUGGGAAGGCCCAGACAGCCAGGAUGUUGGCUUAGAAGCAGCCAUCAUUUAAAGAAAGCGUAAUAGCUCACUGGUCGAGUCGGCCUGCGCGGAAGAUGUAACGGGGCUAAACCAUGCACCGAAGCUGCGGCAGCGACACUAUGUGUUGUUGGGUAGGGGAGCGUUCUGUAAGCCUGUGAAGGUGGCCUGUGAGGGUUGCUGGAGGUAUCAGAAGUGCGAAUGCUGACAUAAGUAACGAUAAAGCGGGUGAAAAGCCCGCUCGCCGGAAGACCAAGGGUUCCUGUCCAACGUUAAUCGGGGCAGGGUGAGUCGACCCCUAAGGCGAGGCCGAAAGGCGUAGUCGAUGGGAAACAGGUUAAUAUUCCUGUACUUGGUGUUACUGCGAAGGGGGGACGGAGAAGGCUAUGUUGGCCGGGCGACGGUUGUCCCGGUUUAAGCGUGUAGGCUGGUUUUCCAGGCAAAUCCGGAAAACCAAGGCUGAGGCGUGAUGACGAGGCACUACGGUGCUGAAGUGACAAAUGCCCUGCUUCCAGGAAAAGCCUCUAAGCAUCAGGUAACAUCAAAUCGUACCCCAAACCGACACAGGUGGUCAGGUAGAGAAUACCAAGGCGCUUGAGAGAACUCGGGUGAAGGAACUAGGCAAAAUGGUGCCGUAACUUCGGGAGAAGGCACGCUGAUAUGUAGGUGAAGCGACUUGCUCGUGGAGCUGAAAUCAGUCGAAGAUACCAGCUGGCUGCAACUGUUUAUUAAAAACACAGCACUGUGCAAACACGAAAGUGGACGUAUACGGUGUGACGCCUGCCCGGUGCCGGAAGGUUAAUUGAUGGGGUUAGCGGUAACGCGAAGCUCUUGAUCGAAGCCCCGGUAAACGGCGGCCGUAACUAUAACGGUCCUAAGGUAGCGAAAUUCCUUGUCGGGUAAGUUCCGACCUGCACGAAUGGCGUAAUGAUGGCCAGGCUGUCUCCACCCGAGACUCAGUGAAAUUGAACUCGCUGUGAAGAUGCAGUGUACCCGCGGCAAGACGGAAAGACCCCGUGAACCUUUACUAUAGCUUGACACUGAACAUUGAGCCUUGAUGUGUAGGAUAGGUGGGAGGCUUUGAAGUGUGGACGCCAGUCUGCAUGGAGCCGACCUUGAAAUACCACCCUUUAAUGUUUGAUGUUCUAACGUUGGCCCCUAAUCGGGGUUGCGGACAGUGUCUGGUGGGUAGUUUGACUGGGGCGGUCUCCUCCUAAAGAGUAACGGAGGAGCACGAAGGUUGGCUAAUCCUGGUCGGACAUCAGGAGGUUAGUGCAAUGGCAUAAGCCAGCUUGACUGCGAGCGUGACGGCGCGAGCAGGUGCGAAAGCAGGUCAUAGUGAUCCGGUGGUUCUGAAUGGAAGGGCCAUCGCUCAACGGAUAAAAGGUACUCCGGGGAUAACAGGCUGAUACCGCCCAAGAGUUCAUAUCGACGGCGGUGUUUGGCACCUCGAUGUCGGCUCAUCACAUCCUGGGGCUGAAGUAGGUCCCAAGGGUAUGGCUGUUCGCCAUUUAAAGUGGUACGCGAGCUGGGUUUAGAACGUCGUGAGACAGUUCGGUCCCUAUCUGCCGUGGGCGCUGGAGAACUGAGGGGGGCUGCUCCUAGU